GGGUACUCGAGCGGCGAACGGGUGAGUAACACGUGAGCAACCUGCCCUAGGCUUUGGGAUAACCCCGGGAAACCGGGGCUAAUACCGAAUAGGACCUCUGACCGCAUGGUUGGUGGUGGAAAGUUUUUCGGCCUGGGAUGGGCUCGCGGCCUAUCAGCUUGUUGGUGGGGUGAUGGCCUACCAAGGCGACGACGGGUAGCCGGCCUGAGAGGGCGACCGGCCACACUGGGACUGAGACACGGCCCAGACUCCUACGGGAGGCAGCAGUGGGGAAUAUUGCACAAUGGGCGGAAGCCUGAUGCAGCGACGCCGCGUGAGGGAUGACGGCCUUCGGGUUGUAAACCUCUUUCAGCAGGGACGAAGCGUAAGUGACGGUACCUGCAGAAGAAGCGCCGGCCAACUACGUGCCAGCAGCCGCGGUAAGACGUAGGGCGCGAGCGUUGUCCGGAUUUAUUGGGCGUAAAGAGCUCGUAGGCGGCUUGUCGCGUCGACUGUGAAAACCCGCAGCUCAACUGCGGGCCUGCAGUCGAUACGGGCAGGCUAGAGUUCGGUAGGGGAGACUGGAAUUCCUGGUGUAGCGGUGAAAUGCGCAGAUAUCAGGAGGAACACCGGUGGCGAAGGCGGGUCUCUGGGCCGAUACUGACGCUGAGGAGCGAAAGCGUGGGGAGCGAACAGGAUUA
RNAcentral lists this ribosomal RNA (680 nucleotides) under Micromonospora sp. YIM 78164. RNAcentral's name for it is "bacterial SSU rRNA". It matches the Rfam family "Bacterial small subunit ribosomal RNA", at positions 85 to 780 of the family's 1533-position model. The record is from RNAcentral. Lineage: Bacteria; Bacillati; Actinomycetota; Actinomycetes; Micromonosporales; Micromonosporaceae.